RNAcentral lists this ribosomal RNA (252 nucleotides) under uncultured bacterium. RNAcentral describes it as "partial 16S ribosomal RNA". It matches the Rfam family "Bacterial small subunit ribosomal RNA", at positions 524 to 776 of the family's 1533-position model. The record is from RNAcentral.
UACGUAGGGGGCUAGCGUUGUCCGGAAUCAUUGGGCGUAAAGCGCGUGUAGGCGGUCCGGUAAGUCCGCUGUGAAAGUCGAGGGCUCAACCCUCGAAUGCCGGUGGAUACUGCUGGGCUAGAGUGCGGAAGAGGAGAGUGGAAUUCCUGGUGUAGCGGUGAAAUGCGCAGAUAUCAGGAGGAACACCGGUGGCGAAGGCGGGUCUCUGGGCCGAACUGACGCUGAGGAGCGAAAGCGUGGGGAGCGAACAGG